CAGCCAGCGCCCCAUUUUUCCUGCAGCACCCUGAUCCGCACUCCCUGAGGGGCUCCCACUGUCCGCGGUGUGAGGAUGUCCCUGGAUAGUCCACUGUGUGCAGAGGCAUGGGAGUUGUCAUGUCGAUAACAUGCUAGACCUCAGUGUCCUUGAGGGAUGCCGCCUUGGGUCUGGAGACUGUUAGAGGAAACCCCAAGAGGUGCAAGCACUGAGCCUCUCAGGACAAUGACCUGGGAUUCCACCUCCCCUGGAGGGGCCUCCUCAUGGUAAGCGAAUGCCAAGAGGUUAAGUCGGCCUGUGUUUCCGAGGUGGAAAUUCGAAGCCGCUGGCUUGAUUUGUCUUCUCUUUUAGAUUGUUUGGGGGUUGAUCACAGACCAAGAGUGAUGAGUGAUGUCACCCUGUGAUGCAUGGCUGGACCUUCUUGCCCCUAUUGUCUCAGCACAACAUUAAUCGACUUUUCCCUCAGCGUGGGUGGGCAGAGGAAAAGCCCUGUGGCUCUGGGGACUUGGGAUCCAGAGUUGAAGACCCUUCAGCUGGCUCUGCCCUGCCAGUGCCACAGAGUGCCAUGGCCCAGGAAGACUGGUUUUCUUCCAUCUAGGCCAGGCCAUCCAGUGGCCAUCCUUCGUGUCCUCCCACCUCCUUCUGGUGUGACUUCUGAAAACCAAGAAUUUGUUCCUGUUGACUUUUUCUGUGCUAUGGACCAUUGUCCUCUGACCCACUCAAUAAAUCUUGAAACAUGC
Molecule: small RNA, 740 nt
Filed under: Pongo abelii (Sumatran orangutan)
Lineage: Eukaryota; Metazoa; Chordata; Mammalia; Primates; Hominidae
Description: retained intron
Source: RNAcentral